AAUCGGAUGAAUAGGAGCCUGCGCAGUUGCAGUGUGGUUGCAAUGAAUUAAAUCCUGUUUUGUUUUGUAAUGAAAUGACCUGCGUUUAUUUCUACAUUAUAUGAAUUCUGUCUUCAAGCUCCAGCGCGUCGUUAUCAGGUCUCCUGUCAGCGUCCGAAGCUCCAGAAAAAACAAUCCAAGUUUGUCCAGCCUCUCCCUAUAGCUGAUAUGCUUCAUUCCAGCUUUCUGUGGUAUUUCCUGGAAGAACAGCACCUCAUAAUCUGCCUGGGUACCUUACAACCUAACAGCAUGGACUUCAAAUGUUUCAAUUUCAAGUAAUCCACCGAUCCCGCUUCCCUUCUCCCAACCCCAACUCUGAUCCACACAUCUUUCUGCCAUCAACUCUGCCACCCUGUUCCUUUCCCCUCCUCCUUAUACGCAUCUGUAAAUCCUCCAUGCUUUGUCCACCAUUUUCUCCUUAUCCAUUCUCUUUCUUUUAUUCCCUGUUCUCUUACACCCAUGUCUCUCCCUCUGAAUUUGCAUUUCACUCCUCCUCUUCCUUCUUUAGACUUUAGACUUUGGACAUCAGAGAUACAGCGUGGAAACAGGCCCUUUGGCCCACCGUGUCUGCAUUGACCAACGUUCCCAGUACACCAACACUAUCCUACCCACAAGGGACAAUUUACAAUUUUACCAAAGCCAAUUAACCUACAAACCUGUACGUCUUUGGAGUGUGGAAGGAAACCGGAGCUCCCGGAGAAAAACCAUGUGGUCACAGGGAGAACGUACAAACUCCGUACAGAGAGCGUCCAUAGGCAGGAUCGAACCCGGAUCUCUGGUACUGUAAUGCAGCAACUCUACUGCUGUGCCACUGUGCCACCCAGCUGAUACCCUUUUGUCUCCAUUUCACCUCUAGCCUUUGUGAUUAUCUCCACCCAUUAGCCAAUCAUCGCUCUCCCCCUCACUUGUUUCCACCUAUCUCUUGCCAAACUUUGCCCCAUUCCCAACUCUUCUCACAAGCUUUAUACCCCUACUUCGUCGGUCUGAAGAAAGGCCAUCUGUCCAUUUCCAUCCACAGAUGCUACCUGACCCACUGAAUUCCUCCAUCACUUCGAUUUUUGCUCAAGACUCCAGCACCUGCAGCUGCUUCCGUCUCCAUUUCUGUGGAAUAUUGUUAAUGUAUUUUGUGUCCUUAUAAAUCAAAAACUGCUUUGUUAUAUUAACACAUGAUGUUAACCUAAACGUGGCUAUUUUAUUUGUUUAUAUCAAAUUCAUAUCAAACGUGGGAUAACAGAAGAAGUUUGAACACGUGAUCGAUGGUCGUCAUGGACACGGUGGGCUGGAGGGCCUCUUUCCAUGCUGUAGCUUUGAACUAAACUAAACAAAACAAUGAGUUGAUCAUCUGAGGUGCUCAUUUGUUUAAACGGCAGCUGGGUAACUCUCAUUUUUCAUAGCCCAACAGCGUAUGUCUUUCCUCCACCUCCCCACCAAUUCAAAACUACUAUGCUCAUACAAUAUGGCAAGCAAAGUUAAAGAUGCAGCUACAAUCCCUUUGCAAGAUAUACAAUAUAUUCUCUGGGUGGAUGGUGAGAUAUUUCAAAAAGCACAAGGGGAUCUGGAAAUUUUGGUCUGUUCUUUCAAGCCCACUAACGCAUAAAAAUUCAUUGCCAUUGCUCAGUCUGAAGAAGGGUUACGAUCCGAAACGUCACCCAUCCUUUUUCUCCAGAGAUGAUGCCUGACCCGCUGAGUUAUUCCAACAUUUUGUAGUUAUCUUUAGUAUAAACCAUCAUCUGAAGUUCCUUCCCAGCCAUUACUCCUCAUGUUGUUUUCCAAUACUAUUCAAGUGGAUCUAAUUGGGAACGUAUGUAUGCCAGGUUAAUUUAUUCUUUCACAAAUAGAAUUUACCUGCUCAGAAAAUUCAAACACCAUCCAUGAUGAUUGGUUAGGCUAUGAAGUUCCAGAUAUUCUAUUUUAAUCCUACGCAAGAAAAUGAUCAGUGAAAGGUGACAUUCAUUUUGUUGUGGAUGAAACAUCUUACCUAGUGCUUAUCUAAUUGAGCAGGUGCAAUUUAGAAUUUCAGAAGUACAAUGGUCUUUUCAAUACUUCGCAUUUGUGAACAUUCACUUCAAUACAGAUGAUCUACCAGUCGGUGGUAGCCAGUGCCAUCUUCUUCGCUGCCGUGUGCUGGGCAGCAGGGAAAAGGCCAUGGAGGGCAAUAUGAUCAACAAGCUCAUCAGGCAGGCUGACUCCAUCUUGGGGUCGGAGUUGGAUUCAUGGGAGGUGGUCUUGGAGAGGAGGAUGCUCCUCAAACUGCGGAGCAUCUUGGACAAUACAGCUCACCCCCUCCAUGACACACUGGUAAACCUUAGGAGCACCUGCAGCACCAGACUGGUUCCACCAAGAUGCAGUACAGAACACCUUUUUCCCUGUGGCUGUCAAACCGUACAACUCCUCCCCCUUCUGUCAUGGGCUAGAUGACUCCCCUCUCACCCCUCCCCAAUCUUUGCACAUCCCCAAUCCUUUCCACUCAUCACUUUAAUUUCAUGUUUCAUGUAUCUUGUGUUUUAUGACUGUUGGCAGAUCUAUUUCCCUCCUCAGAUAAAUACAGUUCUAUCUUAUUGUAUUGUAUCGUAUCGUAAACAGUGAAUGCCACUGGAUAUUCCCUGCAGACAAUGUGAAAGAUAAAUCCCUGGCUCUCACAUGAUGUCCACAUUGAUGUUAUUUCCAGUUGGAUUACUUCAUGAGAUACCAAACAGGGUAAGGUUUAUCGU
Molecule: long non-coding RNA, 2750 nt
Organism: Leucoraja erinaceus (little skate)
Lineage: Eukaryota; Metazoa; Chordata; Chondrichthyes; Rajiformes; Rajidae
Exons: 3
Source: RefSeq, a predicted model, not a curated record